This 455-nucleotide ribosomal RNA is filed under the name Gerbillus nigeriae (Nigerian gerbil). RNAcentral's name for it is "partial 16S ribosomal RNA". It matches the Rfam family "Bacterial large subunit ribosomal RNA", at positions 1914 to 2550 of the family's 2925-position model. Lineage: Eukaryota; Metazoa; Chordata; Mammalia; Rodentia; Muridae. The record is from RNAcentral.
AAAGUUCAACGGCCGCGGUAUUCUGACCGUGCAAAGGUAGCAUAAUCACUUGUUCCUUAAUUAGGGACUAGAAUGAAUGGCUAGACGAGGAUUUAACUGUCUCUUAGUUCCUAUCUGUGAAACUGACCUUCCCGUGAAGAGGCGGGAAUAACAAAACAAGACGAGAAGACCCUAUGGAGCUUUAACUUAUUAAUUUAAUUCCAACUAUUAAAAAUCUAAUGAAAUAAAACCUGGAAACUAAAUUAAUGAUUUAGGUUGGGGCGACCUCGGAGCAUAAAUUAACCUCCGAAUGAUUUUAAUCUAGGCUGACAGGUCAAAAUAAGAUGCUUAUCGCAAUCGACCCAUUACUUUUGAUCGACGAACCAAGUUACCCUAGGGAUAACAGCGCAAUCCUAUUUAAGAGUUCCUAUCGAAAAUGGGGUUUACGACCUCGAUGUUGGAUCAGGAUGUCCCAA